Molecule: RNA transcript, 6393 nt
Organism: Loxodonta africana (African savanna elephant)
Lineage: Eukaryota; Metazoa; Chordata; Mammalia; Proboscidea; Elephantidae
Gene: MAD2L2
Gene name: mitotic arrest deficient 2 like 2
Exons: 8
Source: RefSeq, a predicted model, not a curated record
GUUGCCGCGGGUAGAGCCCCGGGCGCGCGUGUAGCGGCUGGCGGCUCCCAGCGCCCGGGGCGGAACUGGUACCGGGGAGGGCAGAAGGGCAGGGUCCCCGGUGGGGAGGGAUCUGGCGGGCCAGGGCGGAGACUCAGUCCAACCUAGUUUCACUUUCCGGGUGUCCCGCUCUGCGCCCCGGCCCUGCACUUGCAGCUGUCUCUGCACCCGCAGCCCGGCUCUCCUGCGGGCAGAGCGCCGGCCUUUCCUAACCCCGAGACAGCGCGACGACGGGGGCCGGCGGCCGGUGGACAGACGCUGGUCGGCGCGCGCCUGAUGCCCCUCAGCUGCGACGCCAGCGUGGAGGGGUCCCUUCCAGCUGCUCUAUGUGAAGGCGCUCGUCUUGCCCGAAGCCUCCCGAAAGAGGGGAGGGGACAGGAGGUGGAGGCGGGCCCUGCCCCUGCCUGGGCCUUGGGAACUACAGCCUGUCCCUGUUCCUGCCCCAGCCCCAGGUGGCGGGAAGGAUGACCACGCUUACGCGGCAGGACCUCAACUUUGGCCAAGUGGUGGCCGAUGUGCUCUGUGAGUUCCUGGAGGUAGCAGUGCACCUGAUCCUCUAUGUGAGAGAAGUCUACCCGGUGGGGAUCUUCCAGAAACGCAAGAAGUACAACGUGCCGGUCCAGAUGUCCUGCCACCCGGAGCUGAACCAGUAUAUUCAGGAUACGCUGCACUGCGUCAAGCCACUCCUGGAGAAGAAUGAUGUCGAGAAAGUGGUGGUGGUGAUUUUGGAUAAAGAGCACCGCCCAGUGGAGAAAUUCGUCUUUGAAAUCACUCAGCCUCCCUUGCUGUCCAUCAGUUCAGACUCCCUGCUGUCUCACGUGGAGCAGCUGCUCCGAGCCUUCAUCCUGAAGAUCAGUGUGUGUGAUGCUGUCCUGGACCACAACCCCCCAGGCUGUACCUUCACAGUCCUGGUGCACACGAGAGAAGCAGCCACUCGCAACAUGGAGAAGAUCCAGGUCAUCAAGUCCGCCUCUCCAGGACUUCCCCUGGAUCCUGGCAGAUGAACAGGAUGUCCACAUGCAUGACCCCCGGCUAAUACCCCUGAAGACCAUGACGUCAGACAUUUUAAAGAUGCAGCUCUAUGUGGAAGAGCGAGCUCACAAAAGCAGCUGAGGAUACGCCUGGCCCUCCACUGAUGCCACACCUGUCGGACUUGAGGGCCCCCAGCCUAGGGCAGCACUGCAGGCCCCCUGAUUCCAAGUGCUCUUAUUGCCUCUACGUGUAGACCGCCGCCCUCAGCCCAAGGCUGUGCAAGUCUGAUCACCUUCGUGGACUCUGGGAGGACAGUGAAGGGUGCUGGGACCUUGAAUUCUCAGCUUCCUCCAGUUCAGCUGGCCAACACUGUCUCCAGUACUGUGCUGUGAACUGUUUCAAUAAAGGGGCUCCAAGGGCUGAGCUGGGCUGUCACUCACUGGAGUGGGAGGGACUGGUGCAGCCAGAUUAACCUGGGGAAGGGGCUGCUUCUCCACCAAAGUGCCAGGCACCUCCUGCCCCCACCCCUAAAUCCAACCCCAGGCUGAUUUUAAUGUAAACAUUUAUUGUGACAAAAUGUUGAAACAAUAUGACAGUUAAGUCAGCACAAACUGGUGGGUCUGCCCAACACUGGAACUGGGCAGUAGCUCCCAGGACAGGGGCCUCACUACCCAGUACAGGCUCAGGUCUUGCCUGGAGGGGACCUCUGGCCCUCGGCUGGCCCAGACAGAGGACGGACGGACGGAUAGAUGGUUGGAUGGGUGGCCAGUCAGAUAAUGGAAGGAUUUCUGGAGAGGACAAGUGGGCAGCCUUCUCCCACCCCUGCCUUGUCUUUAGGCUGAGUUGUUGGCGAGCCCGAGUUCGUGGUCAUCUUAUGGCUGAUGACUAUGCUGCUGUUGGUGACACGGGGCCCGUACCAGCCGGCCCAAAGCUGGGUGUCCUUGCCUCCAUGCUGGAACAGGAUGUGGCGGACGCCUGGAGGGUAGUCCGAGAAGGUGUAGGAGACCUGGGGGAGGGGAGAGGCAGUGACCACUGGGACUGAGAAGGAGGGCGACGGAGGAGCCAGGUCCCAUUGGGGAAAGGUGGGUGGGCAGGGCAGGCAAGCAGGUGAGGCCUCACCUCUGUCCACUUGGCGUCGUUCCAUUGGUGGAUGAUCACGGGUGGUGGCUCGAAGGAGGCCAAGACAAUGUAGUCAGCGGAGGCCAGCUGCACUCGGAGGUGAUAGGUGCAGCCACAGUCUGCUCUGGCAGCAAACCUAGGGGAGGGCAGGCCUGAGGGCUGGUGCUGGGGGCGGGGCCAGCAGCAGGCCCUCAAAUGAGAACUAGGGGUUGUUUUUCCCUAAGUUUGGCUGAGGUCUUCCGUCUGUCAGCAAUGCCCUACCCAUGAGGCCCAGCCUGUUUUGGGCUCCCUAUGCUCUGAGGUGGGAGGCAGCAGUCUAUCCAUCUGAGAAAAGGGACAACUCUUAGGUAUUCUAGUGAAGAUGUCAUCCCCAAAAGUAAAAGGUCCCCUACAGAGACCAGGGCCCGGUCCCUCAGAAUUAUGUCACCUGUACAUUAUAAUGGAUCAGGCAGUGGACUUAGUGGGAGAUUCAUGGGGUUGGCUUGCGUGAUGGGGGUGCCACAGAGCUCCACCUCUGCUUAGCCCUGUCCUCACCCUUCAGACCCCACCCCUUCACACUUCAAGCAGUGGCCCUAGUGUCUGGCUGAAACUGGGGUCCUGCCUUCUGCUAUGGGCUGAGCCAGGGCCUUGCAAGCUCUGUGCACACAGUAGGCACUGGGUAGAGUUGUAGGGUAAGUGAUGAAAGGAGGUGGGCAGGCAAGAAAGCAUGUGAAUGUCUAUGAGGUUCCGGGGAGGGCUGGGGUCCUGGGCAUCUCUAGUGACAGCUCAUCUGUAGCCCUCAGUCUCCCCAGCUGUAAACUGGGCUAAUGUCUCUCACAGCAUGAUGGGGAGGCUGAGAGGAGCUGCUGGACGGGCAAGUGCUGGGUCUGCCUGGCUCUAGGACAACCCUUGCCCCCAGGACAUAGCCAGGCACAGACUGGGUACUCUCUGAGGGUUUUCUUACCCACUGAAUGUGGCAGGAAGGGAAGGGUGCAGAGUGUGGGGACAUCAUGGGCCCCACUCACCAGUCCUUGACGACGAUGUCAGGCCGGAAUGUGUCCAGCAGCUCCUCCCAGUAGCCCUCGGCCUUGAGGUCCACCAGCUGGGACUUGAGGCACAUGCUGGGGACAGAGGAGAAGGCUUGUAGUCCCAGGUGUGUUCCACAUGGCCCUGCCCAGGCCCUGGCAGCCACUGUGGCCCCAUGGAGACAGUCUGUGAGCUAGCCUCAGGCUGGUCACCUUGGCCCUGGCAGUUCUGUCCACACCUGGCAGCAUCCCCCUGACUACUGCAGGACAGGUACUGGUGGUGCUGACUCCUGCUCCUGCCCCAGCACAGGCCUGUGGGGACCAUAGCAGGACAUCUGAUCCACUUGUGUGUGGGUGGCAUUUGAUCCCGGCCCGUGCAGGCACGAUGCGGUCCGAUGCCAGCUUCCUGCAUUUGGCCCAGGACACCAAGGAGACUUUGGGGUACCCUCCGUGAGCUCACGUUCCUACAUGAGGGGCAACCUGUAGACAUACAGAUUUACCUUAACUGUCUAUUGGAAUCCUGGCCUCCUGAAAUGACCUCCACCCCCACUGCCUACUGACCCAGCCUCUGAGUUUCCUCCUGCUCCAGGAAGCAGUAGACCCUGAGCUGGUGUUGGAGCCAGCUCCCUCAGGCUUCACAGGGAGACCUUUACUUAGGCCUGAGAUUUGGCAAAAGAUGUCCUGGUCCUCUUCUCCCUCAAAAAUCCUGCCAGAAGCCCACAAGCCUGCUCGGUUCAGUUUGUCUUACCCGUAGGAUGUGACAAAGUACUUCUUGACUUUGGGGUCAGGAAAAUUUGUCCCGUGUUCUCCAGGGAGACUCUCCACCUUCCAGUGGUCACCUUCAUUGGAGUCAAUGCGCCAGAAUCCCAUAUUCUCUAGGAAAAACAGAAGCUGAGGUGACAUCCCCUACGUCAACUUAAAGUCUGGCCUCCCCAUCAGGCUCCAGAAGGGAGGGAGGAUGGUUAGCAUUCCUUCCAAAUGGCAGGGCUUGGCUUCUGCUCAAAGAUCUCUGGGGCUGUGGACACCCAGGGGUUAACCAGUUUGUUCUUUCUGGGUUAAACAGCCCAGGUCAGCUCCUCAUCAUCCCACCCACCUUGAAGCACCCCUACAAAGCUCCCCUCCUCCAUACUUUCCCACUCUCCUAACCAUAGCCUCUCAGAUCUGGGACCCUCUCCCUCCCACUUGGUCCCCAGCUGGCUUGACGUGAAGCUGGAAAAAAGAACAUUUCCAGAAAUUCUAAAACAAACCUUUCCUCUCUCCCAUUGUUGCUCUGGGGCUUAAAAAAUUAAAUUUCAUCAAGGCCUGUAAUGAGCCUACUUGGUUCUCAAUGGCAGGUGUAAGUUUGUCCGGUGGCUAAUGAGCUGCCCUAAGGAGGGAGGAGCCCUUGGUUAACUGAGAUCUGCGGAGUCUGAGAGGCCUGACUAAUGGGUUUGUUAUGGGUGUUGGGAACCUACUCUGCUGAUGGGAUUCAGCCCCCUCUGCCUAGGGCGAGAGAUAACAGGAGGACAGGGAACCUCUGGGGUGGAGGCAUGCCAUGACCCCAGUGUUUGUGGAAGGAUUGCUUGGCAGGUUCAGAGGUGCAAAGCUGUCCUUCCCAGCCUUCCCCUUCAGGAUGAACUUAGAGGACUGUAGGAAACAACAACAGCUCUCUCCCAAGGCUGUCCAUAAUAAUCUAGGGGAGCGUUUCCUUUCCUGGUCCCCUCACCAGGAGCCCACACCUCUUUCCCAGGUGCCUAGGGGGGCCCCCAGGUGAGAACCGGAGGAACGAUACAGAAAUCCAGCAGCUGGGUUGGCACUGUGCAUGGGCAUAGGGGGAGAGCAAGGCCAGGCUGACCGCUGCUGGGCCCAGGGUCAGUGCAAGGCCAGGCUAGAGUGGCUCUGCAGGGAAGUGGGAGCUGAGCUGAGCAGGGGUGCCCGUCUGGGCAGCUUCUGAGCAGAAUCGGGGGCAGGCAGAGAGACUGUGUUUGGGGCAUUGUCAGUCAGUGGGGCCUUUGAGAAGGGCCAUGAGGCGUUUAUCAGUCCGGCCCAGCCUCAGAGCUGGGGAGUUCUUGGUCCUUUGAAUAUUCAUCUCAGGGUCUCAAGCUUCCCAUCUAUAAAAUGGAGCCAACCCUACUUAUUCAGGUAAUUCCCAGGAUCCUUGUGAGGAUAGAGAGAGAAAAUGAUACAAACACUAUGCCUCUUCAUCAACCGCUGCUGCAGCCCCAAGCAGCACAGUGUCCGGCACAGAGUAGGUGCUAAGUGAAUGAGGGGGAAAAACCCUGGCAAACACAGGAGAACAUUACCUAUAACUUAAACAGGAGUCUCUAACUAUGUUAUCACAGUUGCCUCUCGAGAUCCUUGUUUGCUUCAUCUGUAUAAGGGAGAUAUCUGGACAGUAAUUACAUGUGUGGAGUCCCUGGGUAGUGCCAAUGGUUCAUGCACUUGGCUGCUAAACAGAAGGUUCGAAGUUUGAGCCUGCCCAGAGAUGCCUCGAAAGAAAGGCCUGGCAAUCUACUUCUGAGAAAUCAGCUACUGAAAAUCCCUAUGGAGAAGAGUUCUACUCUGAUACACACAUGGGAUCAUCAAAAGUCAGAAUCAACUUGGUGGCAACUGGUUUUAAUUACAAUUCUAAGGACCUCAGACUAGUGCCUGGCACAGAGGGAGCCCUCAACAGAUGCUAGGUAGCUCGGACUGAACCAAAAGGGCACGGUGGGUCUGCAUGGUGUUCAUUCAGCAAAGAUUUCUCGAGCACCUGCUGUGUGAAGGCAUUGUUACAGGUGCUGGGUACAGAGCGGCAGACAAGAUCCAUUAGGUCCCUGGAACUUGAUGUUUGUGGCAGAGGAAAAAAAAAAAAAAGUAAAACAUCAAUAAUUACAGGGUAUGCAAGUGCUCUGAAGGAAUGAAAUGGGGGUGGCAUGAUAGGUGUGGGAGUACUGUUUUUAGAUGGGGGUCAGGGCAUGUCUCUGACCUGAGACCUAAAGGAGAAGGAACCUGGCAGACCAUGCCAAGGAGGGUGCUGGGUGUUGCCUGUGUGGGAGAAUAGUCUAGGUGGUGUGGGAGUAGCAAGUACAAAGGCCCUGACGUUCAGGAAAGGGAGGGAACCAGGCCAGCGGCACCACCCUCCCCUCCCCUCACACCCCACCUUCAGCGCAGGGGUUGCGCAGGAGGUUCCUGCUGAGGCUGCGGAGGAAGUAGAAGAUCUUCCAGUCAGCCACGGGCUCGUCCCAGUCCUUUGUGAUGAAGCCAUCGAGCAGGCUCUUGCGCUUCCAGAGGGUCACCA